This 468-nucleotide ribosomal RNA is filed under the name uncultured bacterium. RNAcentral describes it as "partial 16S ribosomal RNA". It matches the Rfam family "Bacterial small subunit ribosomal RNA", at positions 28 to 507 of the family's 1533-position model. The record is from RNAcentral.
GACGAACGCUGGCGGCGCGCCUAACACAUGCAAGUCGAACGGAGCUGAGAGAAGCUUGCUUUUCUUAGCUUAGUGGCGCACGGGUGAGUAACGCGUGAGUAACCUGCCCUGGAGUGGGGGACAACAGUUGGAAACGACUGCUAAUACCGCAUAAGCCCACGAUCCGGCAUCGGCUUGAGGGAAAAGGAUUUAUUCGCUUCAGGAUGGACUCGCGUCCAAUUAGCUAGUUGGUGAGGUAACGGCCCACCAAGGCGACGAUUGGUAGCCGGACUGAGAGGUUGAACGGCCACAUUGGGACUGAGACACGGCCCAGACUCCUACGGGAGGCAGCAGUGGGGGAUAUUGCACAAUGGGGGAAACCCUGAUGCAGCGACGCCGCGUGGAGGAAGAAGGUUUUCGGAUUGUAAACUCCUGUCGUUAGGGACGAUAAUGACGGUACCUAACAAGAAAGCACCGGCUAACUACGUG